GGUAGGGGAGCGUUCUGUAAGCCUGCGAAGGUGUGCUGUGAGGCAUGCUGGAGGUAUCAGAAGUGCGAAUGCUGACAUAAGUAACGAUAAAGCGGGUGAAAAGCCCGCUCGCCGGAAGACCAAGGGUUCCUGUCCAACGUUAAUCGGGGCAGGGUGAGUCGACCCCUAAGGCGAGGCCGAAAGGCGUAGUCGAUGGGAAACAGGUUAAUAUUCCUGUACUUGGUGUUACUGCGAAGGGGGGACGGAGAAGGCUAUGUUGGCCGGGCGACGGUUGUCCCGGUUUAAGCGUGUAGGCUGGUUUUCCAGGCAAAUCCGGAAAACUAAGGCUGAGGCGUGAUGACGAGGCACUACGGUGCUGAAGCAACAAAUGCCCUGCUUCCAGGAAAAGCCUCUAAGCAUCAGGUAACAUCAAAUCGUACCCCAAACCGACACAGGUGGUCAGGUAGAGAAUACCAAGGCGCUUGAGAGAACUCGGGUGAAGGAACUAGGCAAAAUGGUGCCGUAACUUCGGGAGAAGG
Molecule: ribosomal RNA, 518 nt
Filed under: Escherichia coli
Lineage: Bacteria; Pseudomonadati; Pseudomonadota; Gammaproteobacteria; Enterobacterales; Enterobacteriaceae
Description: partial 23S ribosomal RNA
Rfam family: Bacterial large subunit ribosomal RNA
Source: RNAcentral